UAACAAGUAAAGUAGGGCAGUGAGAGGAAGCAGAGGGGGACUGCAGGGACCGAGCCCCAGCAGGCUGAGGUUUUCCACCCACGAGGCCCCAGGAGAGCUGGAGAUCCAACCCUGUUCUCCCAGAGUUUGAGCUUGUCCCUGUCCCACCUGGAGAGCUGCACCCCACAUUCCACUGUGUCUGGAACAGGUAACUCCAAUCGCUGUCCUGAGGGUGAGGCUCUGAGCUGUGACAUUCCCAGAGAGCCCAGGGAGAAAUCAGGUGUUCUGCUCCUUCUGCAAGGGAAAAAGGAGACCUUGAACACCAGCAAGGGUGGGAACCCCCCUGUGGGAGCCACCCCAGCUGACCCAAACACGGCAUCAGAGAUGUCCCUAAAAUGGAUCCCUGGCCCUAAAAGCUUUGUUGGGGUGAAAGGCUGGCAAAGCCAAGGUGCAUUUCCCAGAUGGAAAAGCCUCAGGUCCCUGUGCCCUCAUUUUAUGGCCCUGGUUGCUGUGGAGGUGCUGGGAGUGUUGGCUGCUCCUCCCCUGCCUGCAGAUUGGAUAAAUGAAAUUCCAGUGGCUAUUUCACUCUGGUCUGCGAGACUUUAACUCCCAGGGAAGCAAAAUUCACACAGACCACAGAUGGAUGGGCUCCCCCACUCUUGCUCAGCUGUUGGAGAGAAGAGGAAUCAGGAAUGGAGGGUGAUGAUUAAUGGAUCUGUGUCCCAGUCUGUGUCCCAGCCUCAGCCUGGGUCCCUGCUGAUCCAUGCCCAGGCUCAGAGCAGACAGGGAGACACCAGAGAGGGACAAUCCUGGCUGCUGCACGGGAUGCAGGGAUCCCCAGGGAAGAGGAGCAUCCCCCAAGGGAGCAGGACCUGGCCCACCUCCAGAAAGGUCCUUUCUGUGCCAUGGGGGACAGGAGAAACCCCUAAGGCUGUGCAAGCCUCCAUCCCUGUGGCUCCAGCUUUCCACAUGGUGCUGGAUGGAUGGAUGGAUGGAUGAUGGAUGGAUGGAUGGAUGGAUGGAUGGAUGGAUGGAUGGAUGGAUGGAUGGAUGGAUGAUGGACGGAUGGAUGGACGGAUGGAUGAUGGAUGGAUGAUGGAUGGUAGAUGGAUGGAUGGAUGGAUGGAUGGAUGGAUGGAUGGAUGGAUGGAUGGAUGGAUGGAUGGAUGGAUGGAUGAUGGAUGGAUGAUGGAUGGAUGGAUCCAUGAAUGGAUGGACAGAUGGACAUCUUGACAACUUAGCUGGUGACCUGCUCCCCUUUCCUGAGCCCUCCAGGAGCAAAUGUAUCCAGGCACAUUUU
This 1279-nucleotide long non-coding RNA is filed under the name Serinus canaria (Common canary). Its description in RNAcentral is "lncRNA (ENSSCAG00000009724.1)". Lineage: Eukaryota; Metazoa; Chordata; Aves; Passeriformes; Fringillidae. The record is from RNAcentral.